CAGCGGCAGCGCGGCGUCGAGCGCCGCGUUCACGGCGGCUAUCUUUUCGAGCAUGUAUGCCUUGAAAUCGAAGACUAGUUUUUGGUUUUGGUCUGGAGUUUGAUUUGAAGUGAAUCGGAUUGGUGUGUGAAGCUUGUGAGUUAGUGGAGGAGGAAGCCAUCUGCAAGAGUGAAUCCAUCUAAACUUGCGGAAAAAAUUGGGGCAAAGAUUCAUUCUGUUGCUUUUUGGACAAAACUUUGUCUGAAUUAUUUGUAGAAAUCGAAGAGCUGGGCUGGGAUGGGUCAAAAGGACAUUUCUUUUAGGAUUAGCCAAUAUUUAAUUGGUCCAACCCAACCCAAACCAGAAUUCGUGCCUGCUACAAUGGUUGGAGAACGUCCCCUCCUCCAAACAUGUUAAAGAAGUCUUUGA
RNAcentral lists this long non-coding RNA (408 nucleotides) under Salvia miltiorrhiza (redroot sage). RNAcentral's name for it is "long non-coding RNA (SMIL_LNC007488)". The record is from RNAcentral. Lineage: Eukaryota; Viridiplantae; Streptophyta; Magnoliopsida; Lamiales; Lamiaceae.